Molecule: ribosomal RNA, 492 nt
Filed under: uncultured bacterium
Lineage: Bacteria
Description: partial 16S ribosomal RNA
Rfam family: Bacterial small subunit ribosomal RNA
Source: RNAcentral
AGUGAACGCUGGCGGUAGGCCUAACACAUGCAAGUCGAACGGCAGCACAGUAAGAGCUUGCUCUUACGGGUGGCGAGUGGCGGACGGGUGAGGAAUACAUCGGAAUCUACUUUUUCGUGGGGGAUAACGUAGGGAAACUUACGCUAAUACCGCAUACGACCUACGGGUGAAAGCAGGGGAUCUUCGGACCUUGCGCGAUUGAAUGAGCCGAUGUCGGAUUAGCUAGUUGGCGGGGUAAAGGCCCACCAAGGCGACGAUCCGUAGCUGGUCUGAGAGGAUGAUCAGCCACACUGGAACUGAGACACGGUCCAGACUCCUACGGGAGGCAGCAGUGGGGAAUAUUGGACAAUGGGCGGAAGCCUGACCCAGCCAUACCGCGUGGGUGAAGAAGGCCUUCGGGUUGUAAAGCCCUUUUGUUGGGAAAGAAAAGCAGUAGGUUAAUACCCCGCUGUUCUGACGGUAACCAAAGAAUAAGCACCGGCUAACUUCGUG